This 302-nucleotide long non-coding RNA is filed under the name Carica papaya (papaya). RNAcentral describes it as "long non-coding RNA (CPAP_LNC001715)". Lineage: Eukaryota; Viridiplantae; Streptophyta; Magnoliopsida; Brassicales; Caricaceae. The record is from RNAcentral.
AUAAAGUAAAUUAUUUUCAUAAACAAUAAAUGGACCCCUAACACGAUUCUUGAUAGUAAGUAAUUAUGGUACUUUAUUCUAGUUUUAAAUUACUUUUGAAAUCUUAGUAAUGUCAUUUAAAUACUACUUUCCUUACUGAGUAUGUGAACUCACCCUUUUCCAUGCCCCACUAGAUGAGAACGAUAAUGAGGAACCAAUAGUUGAUCAACUCCCUUAAAGUCUUCGAGAAUCCUGUGGAUCCGUGACCUUAUGAGUGCAUGUUUUGUCCUGCACUCUGAUGAGUCCAUCUUUUGUAGAGGUUU